GUGGUGGCUUCCGGCUGGUGCUGAAGUGGGCCACGAAAGAAUGCUCAAGCUGUCCAAAGGAGUGAAUACUUUUGGGACGAAGGCUGGAGUACCAGGCCCUGGCAGCUUUGCGAAGUGUGGCAGGUAAGCCGAUGCAAAGAAGAGCAUCGGUCGCCCCUUGGAUCGUCAUGAGAGCCUUGUAGCUCUCCAGGUGGUCAACUGGGUCGGCGGAGCCAUCGUAAGGCUCCACGUGUGGCAUCUUGAACCGACUGGGGAUCGGUUCGUCGAGGAUGAGUCGGGAGAGAGGUUGGGC
This 292-nucleotide long non-coding RNA is filed under the name Elaeis guineensis (African oil palm). RNAcentral's name for it is "long non-coding RNA (EGUI_LNC054785)". The record is from RNAcentral. Lineage: Eukaryota; Viridiplantae; Streptophyta; Magnoliopsida; Arecales; Arecaceae.